CAUCGCGAGGUGGAAUCUGAAGGAAGCUCGAGGCAAAAGUUCGGUCCGAGGAACACGAACCACAUUAGGCGGGAUUAGUGGAUGAGUUUGCAAUACAAAACAAAGUCCAAUCCCAUCUAUUUAUACCAAAGGUAUAAGUAAAGAAACUAGUAACGUAAAUGUGGCGGAUAUAUGAACUGAAAGUG
RNAcentral lists this non-coding RNA (185 nucleotides) under marine eukaryotic metagenome. The record is from RNAcentral.